This 264-nucleotide ribosomal RNA is filed under the name uncultured bacterium. RNAcentral's name for it is "partial 16S ribosomal RNA". It matches the Rfam family "Bacterial small subunit ribosomal RNA", at positions 793 to 1055 of the family's 1533-position model. The record is from RNAcentral.
GUCCAUGCCGUAAACGAUGUCAACUAGGUGUUGGGGAACUUGAUUCCUUAGUGCCGCAGCUAACGCAUUAAGUUGACCGCCUGGGGAGUACGGUCGCAAGACUAAAACUCAAAUGAAUUGACGGGGGCCCCGCACAAGCGGUGGAGCAUGUGGUUUAAUUCGAUGCAACGCGAAGAACCUUACCUACUCUUGACAUCCAGAGAAUCCUGUAGAGAUACGGGAGUGCCUUCGGGAAUUCUGAGACAGGUGCUGCAUGGCUGUCGU